UUCAAUUGUUCACAAAAGAAAACCCAGCCCACUAUUCCAAUACACACGCAUACAGAAACACCCAGAUGACCUGACCCUGUUCAUCUUCUUCGUGAUUUACUCAGAAAUGCAACAAUACUAAAACACCCUCCUAUAUGCGUUCAUCUUCAUGCGAGAGACGCUUACAGGUACCCAGUACUAUUUUGGUGUCUUUUUCUUUGCUCCAUCGACGAUUCGUACAAAGCUCCAGUGCUAGGUGGAAACGAGAUCAACGAUUCACUUGUCCUGACGUCUAAAUGGAACGACUCUAGUUUUCUUAGUCGUUGAAAUUUGUCACCAGGUGAUGAAUUUUGUAUUACUCGAGCUGUUUUUUAUACCUUUUCCUUUGAGAAAAUUUGAAAUCUUAACUUUUGCCACAUCAUUUUCCCCUCAAUUUCGACCUAGAAUCCUUUCUAUAUAAACCCUCUUCAUUCACUGUUUUAGAGGACGAUUUUCGGAGACUAAAGAGUACCCAGAAAGUUUUGGGAAUUCUUGGUUCCAUAGUUAAAAAUUUUAAAACGUUUAGUGGCUUUUCGAGUUGAAGAAGUGGAGUCGUCUUUUCAACUCAUUGUUCCAGUCGCUGCCCAGAACGAGUCCAAGGGGAUUGAACAACAAUAUGUUGUAUGUAGAUUCAUUUUGAGUGCACUCAAUCUCAAUUCUACUUUCAGACGUGCUCUCUAAAGUAAGCCUCUGCUCUCUUUUUUUUCCACAUCCAGUCCCCUUUUCACAAUGUGGCUAUCUUGCUUGCUUCUUAUGUGAAGGGUUUUAUUUGGUCGGAAAUCAUGAGUUGAUCUUAGGUUUAAUCGAGCUCUAGAUGAAGUUGAAUUCUAAUUCGACUUAUCUUUGGUUGCUCCUAAAUCCUUUAGAUCCUCAUGUCGCUCUUUUGAGAUAUAAAUUCUAAAUUGUGUACAUUGGCUUGGUUUUGGAUUUCUUACUAUUAGCUAAUUAUUAGUUUAGAUGUUCUAUUUGAGAGCUCAUGUGUCAGGCCAUGCGUUACUAAUCCUGAUUGAUUAUUGGUUUGCUCAUUUUUCCAGAAAUAGUAGAGUUCGUUCUUUGCUUUUUUUGUAUAUAAUACUCGUGUCAGUUUAAAGAAACUAAACAUGUUAGCCUGGAAUUCCUUGAAGUCUUUGCUAUGAUCUGUUAUUUCCACUACCCUUCGCAUAUUUAUGUUAAUACAUGUCAAUUGAUCUUAUGUGAUUUUCAUUCUAUGCUCCCUUUUCUUUCAUUUAUUUUAGUGUUAAUAUGGUUUCUGUUAUUGAAUGAAAUUUUGAGAUAAUGACAUGUUGAUUGGCAUUUUAACUUAGAUUCCAUAAGAAUAUGGUUCGUCCUUAAAACAGAUUUAUUCAAAUUUGUGUUUUUUUGUUGUUACGCUUUUCUUCUUUUGAAUUUUACCGUUGCUUCUUUCAUUCAUUUAGUCUCUAUCUUUUGUGACCACUGUUAGCAGUACUCUUAUUUUAUAAUUUCCAGAGUUAUAAAUAUAUGUCUAGUUUAAGUUGGUUGUUUAGCAAUUUAAUUUUUCUUUUUCAUAAAUUCUCUCAUUUGAGUCCAUUUGGACUCCCCAUCUCCUGCAUUUUCCUCUCUGAGUCAACCCUCUUUAAGUAGUGAAAGAGAAGCCAAAAAAACAAGCAGCAACCACAACUCAAAAUAGCUGAAAAUGAAAGUGUUUUCCGUUCAAAUUGGCCGCAAUUUGAACAGCUGAAAUUAGGCAGAAUUGUAGCAGUUUCAAAGUGUUAAAACGACUUUCUUUUCGACUUUAAAAGUCAGAGAAAAUCACAACAGGAACAGAAAGCAUUUUGGGUCGAAGGCCUUAGAUCUCAGCGGCAAAAGACAACAAUUUUAGCCCCCUAAAAUAGUUUGAUUGGGGCUGAAAUUUUCAGUUUUGGAUUCUCUGUUUAUGUUACUUCCUUUUUAUUAUUGUUAUUGUUGUGAUUGCUAACAUUCUCUAACAUUUUAUUGGCUUGGAUGAAUCCUCAUAUGAGUUUAACAUUAUUUAGUUUUUCCCUUUAUCAAAUUCCUUUUCAAGGAGUUGGAUUUGUUAACACAGUUUAUUUUUAGGCGACUUAAGCUUAUGGAAUAACUGAAGAACUAUGUAUGUUCUUUCAUAUUUAUUAAAAAGCUUUGAAUCCAUGUUUUAUGAAUUUGAACUAGCCAUUUGGUUCAAAAUAAUAACUCGGAUAAAUUAUUAAGUCAAAAAAUAUUUUCGACGGUUUUUACACCUUAAACAUCUUCCUUACUUAACAAGUGACCUUAAGUUUUUUCUUAAAUAUUAGCCAAACUUUAAAAUCCGUCGGUCAUCCGCGUGUUAGCGGAUUCUCUAAGGCGCCUAAACCCUUCCUUAAAGAAUUAUUUGAACCCUUACCCGACUUUGGUUUUAAAUGUUUUCUUUCAAAAAUCUCCUUUUAAAUGAUUUUCUUAUUUUUUUCCUAAACAAUAAGUGGUGACUUCCUAAAAUUUUUUUUUUCCAAAAACACAACAAAAAAUUGACCAAAGUUGCGAAAUCGUCUUUGAAACCUUUUCAGUUUUUGAAACCGGGUCGUAACAGAAUGACAACUCUGCUAGGGAUUCAUCUAGGUUCUAACCCAAAGGAUUUUAUUAUUUGGCUAACUAUUAUUGUAUUAAUUGUUAUUUGAUGCAAUUGUGUUUAAAUUUUGAUUAUUAACUAUUAUAUUGCAUUCAUGGUAUCUUCUGAUAUUAUAUGUACAGUAUAUUAAAGAAUGGUUUGCGAAACUGCAACCAGACUUUUUAUACUCAACCUUUUUUUGGAAUUACUGAUAAUUUAUUUGUUCGUCAUGUGUUCAAUAGUUAUCGUGAAUUUCAGCCUAAGUUGUCCGCUUAGGCUCCCGGUCCUUCAAAAGCCACUCUUAGUCAACUAAGUUAGAGCUCAACCAAAACCCUUUUUAGGCGCAUUAACCUAAGAUGAUCCAAUACCAAAGGUGUAUUGGACCCAUUAUAAGACCCCCUUGAGUCAAAUUCACCCUCGGUCAAUAUAAGACGAUCAUUCAAUUAUUUGUUAAAUUUGAAGGAUAUGUAUGUCGAUUUGUAAGUACCAUUGUCCUUUGGGGUUGGGAUCUUUAUUUUUAUAGGUAGUUUGUUUGUUUAAUUCAAGUGAAGACUCUCCUCAUCAAGAAGAAUUUAAAAAGCUUCAAGAAGUUCGGGAAUGAAGAUUCAUAUCGAAGCUUAGCUUAGUUUACCAUUGUACCCCUACGUGGGACUGAUAUUUAUUUCCCUUUCCUCUAUUGUGUAUCCCUAUUUAUUUUAUUCAUAAGUUUUGUAUAAAUAUUUUUGGGUCAAUGGAACGAUUUACAAAUGAUA
Molecule: long non-coding RNA, 3330 nt
Organism: Solanum lycopersicum (tomato)
Lineage: Eukaryota; Viridiplantae; Streptophyta; Magnoliopsida; Solanales; Solanaceae
Source: RefSeq, a predicted model, not a curated record